UAACACAGGCCGUGCUAUAGGGCGUGGUACCCUUAGAAAACGUGCUGCUUGAAAGUACUUAAGCUAUAAAGCCUGGAAUUUCUACACGGGCCAUAUUGACUUCCCAAAAGUCAAUUCAAGGUAAAAAUGCUUAUGAUUCCAUCCCUUUUCGCCCGAAAUUGAUCUAAAAUUGCUAAAGCAUUGAUGAUGGACCUAUAUAAUCUCAUGAAACACGAAAG
RNAcentral lists this long non-coding RNA (218 nucleotides) under Ricinus communis (castor bean). RNAcentral's name for it is "long non-coding RNA (RCOM_LNC001922)". Lineage: Eukaryota; Viridiplantae; Streptophyta; Magnoliopsida; Malpighiales; Euphorbiaceae. The record is from RNAcentral.